AAGCAAACGAAAUGUUCUUCCUCACCUCUCCACCCGCUUUGAAGCAGGAAUCGAUAGAAGAAUGCGACGUAGCGUGAAGAAAAAAAGGAACAAGCCACGCAUUCCUCGAGAUAUAAACUUACUCAUUGAACGAUGUGAAAUCCAGCACCAAUGGAUUAAAAUUAUCUUCAUUCAAUGAUUGAAGACUAUAACUUCCCCAUAAAUUGAUACUUUUUUCAUCCAAUUUGAAUUUGUCAAUCUUCAAUUCUACAAAUUUUGCCCAAAAUGUACAAUCUGUAGUAGAUCUGAGUUUUGUAAAUUUUACAAAUUCCGACAUUUUUAAUUUCUGAAAAUGAUUUAAUCAUGUAAUAAUGUAAUAUUCAUAUAUUUAAUAAAAAUAUAACACCGAAAUGAUAACAAUAAUAAUAUUUAUAAAACACAA
Apis cerana (Asiatic honeybee) is the source of this 421-nucleotide long non-coding RNA. RefSeq lists it as uncharacterized. The record is from RefSeq and is a predicted model, not a curated record. NCBI's taxonomy places the organism in Eukaryota, Metazoa, Arthropoda, Insecta, Hymenoptera, Apidae.